Long non-coding RNA from Lingula anatina, 319 nucleotides. The record is from RefSeq and is a predicted model, not a curated record. Lineage: Eukaryota; Metazoa; Brachiopoda; Lingulata; Lingulida; Lingulidae.
CCAAGUCAGAUCCAUUUUGUGUUCUUCGAAUAAAAGAACUGGGUGCCGCAGAGUGGAGAGAGGCGCCAUGUGGAAGAACGGAAGUGGUCCAGAACUGCUUAAAUCCAGACUUUGCCAAAAAAUUCACCAUUGAUUAUUACUUUGAACAAAAGCAGCAUUUAAGAUUUGAACUGUACGACCAAGACAGCAAAUCUGCAGACCUUUCAAAACAGGAUUUUCUCGGCUCUUGUGAAACUGCACUGAGUACACUGGUCACGUCAGGCGUGUGUGAGAAACCGAUACAUGGACCCAAGAAGAAUAGCGGGACUAUUAUCUGUAA